UUUAGACGCACUGUGUCUACAUGCAAGUAUUUAGAUAAGCUACCCACUAGUGUUGAUUGAGAGAUCACACUAGGGGAGUACAAGAUAAGAGAAGAGAAGACUACUAACAGUCAGUAUAAGCUAUACAUCAUUAAAGAAAAAACUGAAACAAGAAAUAGUGAGACUAUAGGAGAGGACAGGUUAGUGUAUGAGAAUAAGAAAUGAAUAAAUAAAAAACAACAAUUAUUAAAACAACAAAUUAAUACACAUUAGCGUCAAGGUCAAUUUUAAUCAGUUUUACUUACACAAAAAGUGUUUGGUACUGCAUUAGUCCUUUAUUGUGUCCAGUGAUUAUACACACAAUCAUCAA
Long non-coding RNA from Amphimedon queenslandica, 349 nucleotides. RefSeq lists it as uncharacterized. NCBI's taxonomy places the organism in Eukaryota, Metazoa, Porifera, Demospongiae, Haplosclerida, Niphatidae. The transcript has 2 exons. The record is from RefSeq and is a predicted model, not a curated record.